This 444-nucleotide ribosomal RNA is filed under the name uncultured Propionibacteriaceae bacterium. RNAcentral's name for it is "partial 16S ribosomal RNA". It matches the Rfam family "Bacterial small subunit ribosomal RNA", at positions 338 to 794 of the family's 1533-position model. Lineage: Bacteria; Bacillati; Actinomycetota; Actinomycetes; Propionibacteriales; Propionibacteriaceae. The record is from RNAcentral.
CCUACGGGUGGCAGCAGUGGGGAAUAUUGCACAAUGGGCGGAAGCCUGAUGCAGCAACGCCGCGUGCGGGAUGACGGCCUUCGGGUUGUAAACCGCUUUCGCCUGUGACGAAGCGUGAGUGACGGUAAUGGGUAAAGAAGCACCGGCUAACUACGUGCCAGCAGCCGCGGUGAUACGUAGGGUGCGAGCGUUGUCCGGAUUUAUUGGGCGUAAAGGGCUCGUAGGUGGUUGAUCGCGUCGGAAGUGUAAUCUUGGGGCUUAACCCUGAGCGUGCUUUCGAUACGGGUUGACUUGAGGAAGGUAGGGGAGAAUGGAAUUCCUGGUGGAGCGGUGGAAUGCGCAGAUAUCAGGAGGAACACCAGUGGCGAAGGCGGUUCUAUGGGCCUUUCCUGACGCUGAGGAGCGAAAGCGGGGGGAGCGAACAGGCUUAGAUACCCUGGUAGU